CGAGGGCCGCGCCCCGGCGCGGCCCUCGGCCCGACUCCGGUACCUGAUACGGCCGGGGCGG
The submitters of this non-coding RNA (61 nucleotides) gave its source as unclassified sequences. The record is from Rfam.